Molecule: long non-coding RNA, 318 nt
Filed under: Salvia miltiorrhiza (redroot sage)
Lineage: Eukaryota; Viridiplantae; Streptophyta; Magnoliopsida; Lamiales; Lamiaceae
Description: long non-coding RNA (SMIL_LNC008839)
Source: RNAcentral
UUUCAAAAUUAUUACUUUUUUCACGAAAAUUGUUAAUUUUAGUAGCAAAAACUUAUAAUUUUAAUUAUUUGGUUAACUAAUUAUUGUUGUAAGAAAAAAUAAAUAUUGAUAUGAGUAAAGAUAAUAUUAAAAAAACUUAAAAAAAUAGAAAAAAGUUUAAAAAGUGUUGAAAAUAAAAAAUUAAACAAAAAAAAUAAAGAAGCUAACAAAAAGAAAAACAAAAAAACAGAAGAAAAACAAAUAAAAACGCAUAUAUAAAGAAAAAAAAUGCAAGAAACAAGAGGAGAAAAGGAAAUAGAGGUUUGAAAAAUAUGAAAG